RNAcentral lists this ribosomal RNA (460 nucleotides) under uncultured bacterium. RNAcentral describes it as "partial 16S ribosomal RNA". It matches the Rfam family "Bacterial small subunit ribosomal RNA", at positions 338 to 795 of the family's 1533-position model. The record is from RNAcentral.
CCUACGGGAGGCAGCAGUAGGGAAUUUUCGUCAAUGGUCGAGAGUCUGAACCAGCCAAGUAGCGUGAAGGAUGACUGCCCUAUGGGUUGUAAACUUCUUUUAUCUGGGAAUAAAAUGUUCCACGUGUGGGCUUUUGUAUGUACCAUAUGAAUAAGGAUCGGCUAACUCCGUGCCAGCAGCCGCGGUAAUACGGAGGAUCCGCGCGUUAUCCGGAUUUAGUGGGUUUAAAGGGAGCGUAGGGGGAUUGUUAAGUCAGUUGUGAAAGUUUGCGGCUUAACCGUAAAAUUGCAGUUGAAACUGGCAGUCUUGAGUACAGUAGAGGUGGGCGGAAUUCGUGGUGUAGCGGUGAAAUGCUUAGAUAUCACGAAGAACUCCGAUUGCGAAGGCAGCUCACUGGACUGCAACUGACACUGAGGCUCGAAAGUGUGGGUAUCAAACAGGAUUAGAUACCCUUGUAGUC